GAGGGCAUAGCUCAGUGGUAGAGCGCAUGCUCAGCAUGCACAAGGGGCUGGGUUCAAUCCCUAAUGCCUGCA
This 72-nucleotide transfer RNA is filed under the name Camelus bactrianus (Bactrian camel). It matches the Rfam family "tRNA". From Rfam's summary of the family: Transfer RNA (tRNA) molecules are approximately 80 nucleotides in length. Their secondary structure includes four short double-helical elements and three loops (D, anti-codon, and T loops). Further hydrogen bonds mediate the characteristic L-shaped molecular structure. tRNAs have two regions of fundamental functional importance: the anti-codon, which is responsible for specific mRNA codon recognition, and the 3' end, to which the tRNAs corresponding amino acid is attached (by aminoacyl-tRNA synthetases). tRNAs cope with the degeneracy of the genetic code in two manners: having more than one tRNA (with a specific anti-codon) for a particular amino acid; and 'wobble' base-pairing, i.e. permitting non-standard base-pairing at the 3rd anti-codon position. Lineage: Eukaryota; Metazoa; Chordata; Mammalia; Artiodactyla; Camelidae. The record is from Rfam by way of RNAcentral. RNAcentral also lists the same sequence under 2 other names.